AUUGAACGCUGGCGGCAUGCCUAACACAUGCAAGUCGAACGGCAGCAUGACUUGGGUUUACCCAAGUUGAUGGCGAGUGGCGGACGGGUGAGUAAUGCGUAGGGAUCUGCCCUGAAGAGUGGGAUAACCCGGGGAAACUCGGGCUAAUACCGCAUGAGACCUGAGGGUGAAAGGGGGCGUAAGCUCUCGCUUUAGGAUGAACCUACGUCCGAUUAGCUAGUUGGUAGGGUAAAGGCCUACCAAGGCGACGAUCGGUAGCUGUUCUGAGAGGAAGACAAGCAACACUGGGACUGAGACACGGCCCAGACUCCUACGGGAGGCAGCAGUGGGGAAUAUUGGACAAUGGGCGCAAGCCUGAUCCAGCAAUGCCGCGUGUGUGAAGAAGGCCUAAGGGUUGUAAAGCACUUUCGUUGGGGAAGAAAGGUAAUGGGUUAAUACCCCGUUACUGUGACGUUACCCAAAAAAGAAGCACCGGCUAACUCUGUGCCAGCCGCCGCUGUAA
This 502-nucleotide ribosomal RNA is filed under the name uncultured bacterium. RNAcentral's name for it is "partial 16S ribosomal RNA". It matches the Rfam family "Bacterial small subunit ribosomal RNA", at positions 30 to 523 of the family's 1533-position model. The record is from RNAcentral.